CUAUGUACCAACCCGGCCAAAUCCACGGUCUCGUUGAUCCGUUGCAAGAACAUCAAUGUCGAGGAGGUGCUCGGUUUUGCAGGCCCCAUCGCCCCCUUCCCCAUCAAAUACCUUGGGUUGCCGGUCUCUACGGGACGCCUUCGCUUGGUCCACCUCCAGUUCAUCAUCGACAGAAUCAAGGCAAGGCUUGCAGGCUGGAAGGGCAAGCUGCUACCGAUGGCCGGCCGCCGCGUCCUCGUCCGAUGA
This 246-nucleotide ribosomal RNA is filed under the name Triticum aestivum (bread wheat). RNAcentral describes it as "partial small subunit ribosomal RNA". The record is from RNAcentral. Lineage: Eukaryota; Viridiplantae; Streptophyta; Magnoliopsida; Poales; Poaceae.